AGCACUAUUUUUAAACCUGUUGGUGGAACUUGCUGACCACCAGUGGGUUACGCUGUAGUGCAAAAGCAUCUCCUGGCUCUUGAGAGCUCAGCUGACCUUGCUCUGUUCAGCUGAUGCUCCUCUGAAGCUGAGGAACAGAA
Small nucleolar RNA from Empidonax traillii (willow flycatcher), 140 nucleotides. RefSeq annotates it as small nucleolar RNA SNORA46. The record is from RefSeq and is a predicted model, not a curated record. The transcript has a single exon. NCBI's taxonomy places the organism in Eukaryota, Metazoa, Chordata, Aves, Passeriformes, Tyrannidae.